GUGACAGAGAGACUGACCUAACUUAGAGCAUUUUGGAAAAGAAGAGUUCUAAAUUCUGUGAACCCCUAUUAGCAAGAAACUUCUAAAGAAUGGAGUCCUUAAAAAACUUGGAUAUACGGCACUGUUCUAAUUUCCUAGAUAAAUAAUUUUUCCUCAACAGGAAAUAGUGUAAACCACAGAUAACUUGGAACAUAGCAAGACUGGAAAGAAAUGGAAUUCAAAGCAGUGAGAAAGACUGAGAUAAAAUGGAAGAAUGCUAUGAAGAAGAGAGCAUCAGAUGACAGCUUUCUAAAUAGCAGGGUGACAUACUGAUAAUUCAAUGUGAUGCUAAGAUAAUAAAAAUGCAUAAGAGCACUGGCCUCAUAAACAGACACAUGCUAUCACCAAACAGGGAAGCUGCAGCCUGUAGCUCCUGUUUAUACAGUAAGGUGAGACGCUAUCUAGCAUCCAUCCCCCUUCUAGGUUUGAGUGCCCCAGGAUCAGAAAGAUGCUGAUAACUAGAAAUGAAAGAAAAAACCAACAACAAAAUGAUUAAAGAACUUUUGGAUGCAUGCAGAAAGAUUAG
RNAcentral lists this long non-coding RNA (565 nucleotides) under Marmota monax (woodchuck). The record is from RNAcentral. Lineage: Eukaryota; Metazoa; Chordata; Mammalia; Rodentia; Sciuridae.